CAGACUGAAUUUAGCCUUGAUGCCCUCCUCCGAGCUGCUGUUAACAGGUGGAAAGGCUGCGUCAUUUAUGAGGGUGAUCUGAACCGCUCGGAGCUCGUCGUUCAGAAGGUGCAAGGCAGAGGCGGCGAGAAGAUUUAUUUGAAAACCAGUUGUGAUAUAUCCCCAAAUCCACACCAAAAGAAAAGGGAGCGAUUUCUUAAGGAAAAAGGCCAGGGAUUCUUCGGUGGUCUGCCCGGGUGCGAAAAGCAAGGAGCCGAGAUCCCUACCCGUAGGUGGAGAUGGUCCUCAUCAGAUAUGCAGGGCGGAAGAUUUCCCUUUGUAGCAGUUAAAUUGGUAAGUUAGCCACUCUCCUCGUUAUUUGUUAUUGCUAUUUAUAUUAAAAAUGUA
Molecule: long non-coding RNA, 387 nt
Filed under: Apteryx rowi (Okarito brown kiwi)
Lineage: Eukaryota; Metazoa; Chordata; Aves; Apterygiformes; Apterygidae
Description: lncRNA (ENSARWG00000010541.1)
Source: RNAcentral